RNAcentral lists this ribosomal RNA (500 nucleotides) under uncultured bacterium. Its description in RNAcentral is "partial 16S ribosomal RNA". It matches the Rfam family "Bacterial small subunit ribosomal RNA", at positions 32 to 523 of the family's 1533-position model. The record is from RNAcentral.
AAUCAACGCUGGCGGCGUGCCUAACACAUGCAAGUCGAACGGUAACAGGGUGCUUGCACCGCUGACGAGUGGCGAACGGGUGAGUAAUGCGUCGGAACGUGCCGAGUAGUGGGGGAUAACGCAGCGAAAGUUGUGCUAAUACCGCAUACGUACUGAGGUAGAAAGUGGGGGACCUUCGGGCCUCACGCUAUUCGAGCGGCCGACGUCUGAUUAGCUAGUAGGUGAGGUAAAGGCUCACCUAGGCGACGAUCAGUAGCGGGUCUGAGAGGAUGAUCCGCCACACUGGGACUGAGACACGGCCCAGACUCCUACGGGAGGCAGCAGUGGGGAAUUUUGGACAAUGGGCGAAAGCCUGAUCCAGCCAUGCCGCGUGUCUGAAGAAGGCCUUCGGGUUGUAAAGGACUUUUGUCAGGGAGGAAAUCCCUAGUGCUAAUAACACUGGGGGAUGACAGUACCUGAAGAAUAAGCACCGGCUAACUACGUGCCAGCAGCCGCCGUAA